This 420-nucleotide ribosomal RNA is filed under the name Fusobacteriota bacterium. RNAcentral describes it as "Fusobacteria bacterium partial 16S ribosomal RNA". It matches the Rfam family "Bacterial small subunit ribosomal RNA", at positions 355 to 776 of the family's 1533-position model. The record is from RNAcentral. Lineage: Bacteria; Fusobacteriati; Fusobacteriota.
UGGGGGAUAUUGCACAAUGGGCGAAAGCCUGAUGCAGCGACGCCGCGUGGGGGAUGAAGGCCUUCGGGUUGUAAACUUCUUUUGCUCUGAACAAGGCAUGCCUUUGGGGUGUGUUGAGUGUAGGGGUUGAUUAGCGCCGGCUAACUACGUGCCAGCAGCCGCGGUAAUACGUAGGGCGCGAGCGUUGUCCGGAAUUAUUGGGCGUAAAGGGCUUGUAGGUGGCUGGUUGCGUCUGUCGUGAAAGCUCAUGGCUUAACUGUGGGUUUGCGGUGGGUACGGGCUGGCUUGAGUGCAGUAGGGGAGGCUGGAAUUCCUGGUGUAGCGGUGGAAUGCGCAGAGAUCAGGAGGAAUACCGGUGGCGAAGGCGGGUCUCUGGGCUGUUACUGACGCUGAGGAGCGAAAGCGUGGGGAGCGAACAGG